UUACCAACCAAAUGUCAGAUUUGUCAAAAGUAAUCAAAGCACGUUUAGGUUUAUUGUGUUCAUUUUUCGUAUUUUAAUAUUAAUUAGCGCUUUCUAUUUCUUUUGGAUUUAAUAUAGUUUUAUAAAAUAAAGGCUUCAUCAAUGAUAUUAAGAUGAUGAAGCUGAUAAUCUGAAAGGAGUCGUAAUUUCUAUGGAAUACAAUCACAUAACACAGAAGGCAGAUAUUAGUAUCCACAGUUGAGAAGUAUGUAUAGAAAUGAAGAGAUGUGACGCAUGCCGAAUUCGUACUGAACGGAGGGUGUCGGAGAGCCGCCCCAGGGACACAGGGGACAGAGAUCCUCUCAUUGACUCCCCAAUUGUCUCCCAGGAGGAGCCCUACGAUAAUCGUAACUUAUCGUGCGGCAUCUGCUCGAUGUUCCCGUCGUGCAUGUCGCUGCUGUCGCGGCGGCCCGAGCAGGCGGCGCCGCGGCCCGGCCAGGCGGCCGUCGUGCUCAACGUGUACGACAUGUACUGGACAAACUGGUACACGGCGGGCGCGGGCGUGGGCGUGUUCCACAGCGGGGUGCAGGUGCACGGCGCCGAGUGGGCCUACGGCGGCCACCCCUACGCCUUCACCGGCGUCUUCGAGAUCGCGCCGCGCGACGAGCGCGAGCUCGGCGACCAGUUCCGCUUCAGGCAAAGUGUACAUAUAGGUUAUACAGAUUUCAGCGAAGAGGAAGUGCGGCGGUUAGUGGCGGAACUAGGCAAGCAAUUUCGCGGUGACAGGUACCACCUUAUGAACAACAAUUGCAACCACUUCACGUCCGCGUUUUGUCAGGCGCUGUGUUCGCGCGACAUCCCGGCGUGGGUGAACCGGCUCGCGUACGUCAGUUCGUGCGUGCCCUUCCUGCAGCGCUGUCUGCCCAAGUGAGCCCCUACUACCUAUAUAGUUGGGAGUGGCUGACGCCGGCAGCGCUGCAGCACUCGCUGGCCGCGCACUCGCGCUCCUCCUCACCGCAGACCCCCACCACGCCGCAAUAGCAACACGACGUGCUGCGUUUGUGCAGAUAGAGAAAACGAAGUGUUGUGCGAACUAUACCUAGAUCUAGUAAGCUAAGUUCGUUUGGCGCAUUGUCGAUAUAUUAUAUGUAUAUUUCACUUUAUUACGAUUACUAUUAACGAUUAUUGAACGUUGUAUACCUUUAACGAUUUUUCGGUAUUCCUUUUAUUCAUAAAGUAAUGCGUACCUCUUAAAAGAAAUACAUUAAAGUCACGUAACCUCUCUCUCUCAUUUGUAUCAGUCCCCAUUGAAAUGUUUUCUAAUCAUUUAGAUUAAUAUUUGUAUUCAUUAACUAAAUUAACUAUGUAAUUUUAAAUAAUAAAUUGUAUGGUUAACAUGAGAGUGUAAACGAAUACGCGUUGGUUUUCCAAUUAUUUCUUUUAAACUUGAGGUCUAAUUUAACUUUUAUAAUAAUUACAAAAAAAAAGGAAUGUUCUAUGCCAAGAAUGUAUCUAAGGAAUAGAUGCAUGCAUUUCUGUUCUUUCUUUCAGCGAACUCUUAUUUUAAUUCGAGCAUUGGAUAAACGAGAGAGAGAGAGAGAGAGAUAGUGUAAGUUUAUUAAGAAAAAAAACACUGUCUUCUUAUUUUUAUGUCAUUAUUUCUGUUAUUCAGUGAGGCCGUUUUUGAGAUGCUAUUUCUCUUAAACUUAACAGCUUAACUUUAUAUUUUAAUUUGAUAGUUUCGGGAAAUUACUAUUUUAUGAACGGUCAUAAACUAAAAUUGCAAUAAUUUGGACCUUAAUCUAUUUAAAAAAUUGGUUUACAUCGUUUCUUACAAUAAAGAUUUCAUUGUGAUAUCAAAUUAUAAUUUAAGAAGAUAGGUUUAAACCUUUAAAGAAAUGGCCCCUCAGAAUCGUCCCCAAUAUCAGUAAAAAAGUGACAUAGAUUUAACAUUUAAAUGAAGUAAUGAAAUAAUAAAAUAUGGUCUUGUGUUAGUAUUGAAAAAAAAAACAGUGAAUAAACAUAAAAAAAAAGAAUAAAAAGUUUUAUUAUUUUAAACGUGGGCGGUUGGUAGCAUUGGCGUAUUUAAGAUUAUACCAAGAAGCUUGGGGUUUCUUAAAAGACGUAUAUGCACUCUCCGAUAUGUCUUUACGAAGGUUCAAUCACAUCCUGGCGUGGGUACGGCCCACCCAAUCCCCAAACGUAAAUACGCCUAGAAAAAAAUUCGUGUUACAUCUCCAAACAUAAUUUAUUUGUUACUGUUCUUAACAUGUUUUUAUGGACCUUGAAACGUGACAAAAAUGUAUGUGUAUAAUUGUAAUAUAACUCUUAAUACGUAGUUAUAGUGCUCCGUCCGUUGAGAUUCUCUUGUUAAAUAUUACUGUUAGGGUAGUCCAAAGUUGUAAGUGCGAAUAAAAAUGUAGUACAAAUGGUGUCACUAAAUUGAAAAUGUUACUUUAUCCAAUAUACGUUUGAAUACAGUGAUUACAUAGUUGGUAAAAAAAAAAAACAAAAUAGUCACGCCCAUUCGACAAGGAUAAACCAAAAUUGUAAGCACCUUAUAACGAAGUUUUUUUCAAACUGUAACAUUUUCUCGAAGAAAUGUGUUAUAAAGUUUAAAAAAUAAAGCCUUCUGUAUUCAAAAACAUUAAAGACUACAAAUAAUAAUCGAUCUUUUAGAAUUUUAAGUAAAAUUUGUAGUACUAUAGAUAUAGCCUUAUUGUUCUAUAUCUUGUUUAAAUUUAAAAAUGUAGUUAACAUUUAUUGUAUAGAAGAUUCAUAAAAAUAAUUUUCCUUUCAGCUUGUUAAAAAACUAAUGUCGCGUACAAAAAAAAAAUUAAUAUAAUUCAGUAAAUUAUAAAGAAAAUCAGUUCAAUAAAUAAAAAAGAAAAUAGAAUAAAAUUGUUAUACAUGUUUAUAUUCUCCAUACAUAAAUAACACUUAUAAAUAAUGCAAAUGCGCAGCCAUUUGAUAACUAUGUUAUUGCAUGUAAUAUACAAUUUGGACUAUAAUACAAUAUGUUACUGGACUUCUUUACACAUGUGUCCUAAGGUUAAUGUCAAAGUGCCAUCAUCGGUGUAAUUAUAAAUUAGUUAUAUUAAAUUUAUGAAUGUAUAGAAAUAAUUGUUAUUCAUACUUACUACUUGUUUGUCAAAAUUAGGAUUUGAAUAUUAGUAGAAUUAAGCGAUAGUUUAAAACUACGAACCUCGGACUUUGUUUAGUUAGAUUUUGUCUAAUUUGUGAUGAAAUAUAAUUUUUUUAUACUUGGCACAUUUUUUAAACAAGAUGCCAAAACGGCAUAUUUUAGUGUAAUUUAUGAAAUUGGUCAUUUUAAACAUUACCGCCGAAAUCAUUAGACAAUCAAUACAAAAAUAUAACAAUUAAUUUAUCAUUGAUAUUAAAAAAAAAAAAAAAAACUAUUCUCAUAUUGUUUACUCAAUACUAAGCUAAGUAUAAAAAAAAAAUAGAUUGUUUUCAUUAUUGUACAUAGAGUGAUAUUUAACUUUCUCUCGUUAACAGCAUCAUUUUAAAUCAUUCACAAUUAUCAUGUAUUACGAAUAAUUUUCCUUUAAUUAAUAACAAUAGUACAUUGUAAUAAAGUCGUAUUUAACUUGACAAUGCGCCAAUAAAUUUAUCAACCACACGGGGGCGUAAAUGUGGUUUUUUCUAAUGUACCUAUAUGUAGUUCUCUUUUGUGUGAUUUUUUGUGAGUCCAUUUUUUGAUAAACUAUAAACAAUGUUCGUAUGUUGUUAUAGACUCUAUGUGGUUGUAAUAUAACUUCAUUUUAAAUGUCGAUUACCCACAAUGAUGUGCCACUCUUCGCCUCAGUGUUUCGAGUUUUUUUUUUUUAAUUAUAACAAUGUACCCAUCUCUAUUUAGUCGUUUGCUGCGGUUCAACAAGUGAAUUAUGCACUUCACAAUAACACAAAACAAAAAAUAUUUACAGAAAAAUUUUUACCUUUUUUUCUUGCUGGACCUCAGCCUAAAAUAAUAGGAUGUGUAAUCAUAAAAGUAAAUUUAAUUUAAACCUUGAAAUAUAGUUAGACAUGAUUCUUUUGGAUGUGAACAAUUGAAACUAUUUGUGUGCCUUUACCACUUCCGAGCAAAGUUGGGUAUUCAUCGUUAAUUAAUCAUAAUUAUAUAAGGAUAUCUCAGUAAUUCUCUCAAAUAAAAAAAAAAACGGAGUCUUUUUUUGAUUACUUGUCGAGAAUAUAGUUAAAAAUCUUACCUUACUAAUUUUUUUCUCACAGCCAUGUUAUGUUUAGGUUAAACAUAUGUUAAGGUUGGUCAAAAUACUACUUGUUUAGUAUUUGAAUUUAUUCACUGUGAACAGUAAAAUGUUAACAUAAGUUUGUUACCUGGACUGAACCAUUUAGAGAACUACAGCGGUUUUCCUUUAGGUCGUGUUAAAUAAAAUAGGGUAGUUUCAGAAAAAAAAAAAAAAAAUAAGAAUUUUUCGAAAUGUAAUUUAGUUUUGGAAACAAAAAAUCAACGUAUUUCAAGGUUUUUUUUUUAUUUCUCUAUGUAUCAAAUUGUUGGUUAUCUUAGAAAUUUAGGAUCUAUAAAUACUAAAUAAUAUCUAAAAUAGACAUACAAUAAAAUAAGCCAACAUAGCAUACAUAUAACUCAUAUAAGAGAAGUUGAAAAAUUAUAAACCGUUAUACUUAAAUGCUCCUCUUUUUACAUUUCACAUAAUCAUAUUUUAUAAUACAGGUUAGACAGGAAUUAUACUAAGCAGAGGAAGAUUGAAACACAUGCAAUAAUAGCAAUAAAAUACAAAUACAUAUUAAAAUAAAAUUAAUAUUUUAAACAACAGAUAAUGAGAAAAAAUUUACAAAAGUAAUUGGACUAAGGAAGUAAAAUUAAAAAAAAAUCCAAUUUGAAGCGUUUGUGAAACAUAUUCAAAUUUUUUUUUACUCCAUUAUAUAUUAUUAUUAACUAUAUUCGACGGAUUCACGAUUUCAUGAAUUUUAUCAUCCUAUGUUUAAACGAUAUUAUAUUUGUUGUUACUUGAAUAACUACUUAAAACAGCAUUUUUCCUUUUUUAAGUACUUAUUGAGGGACGAGCGUUGUAAUAAUUUCCUCCUUUCUAUAUUGUGUAUGAAAAUAUUCUCAAAAUAUUUUAGGUCACAAUAAACAAGUAUUAUAAUUAUGAAUUCAUAUUUCAUAGUUUUAUAAUCGACUAGGUAAUCUUGUACUUUCAAAAUAUGAACAUUAAAAUAAACCAAAGAGCUGUCUCUUAAUUAAAGUGUAUACUUUUUAAGCCUUAAAAUUUCAGUUUUCAAUUACUAUUUUAUAUAUUUUCUUAUAUUGUUCUAUCAAGACAUGACAAUAACUAUUAAAAACUAUCUGAACUAUAUGUACUUUAAACCAUGCAUAUUUUCUGUAGCUUUAUUUUUUUUAGUAUUAGUAUUAAUUUUAAGUUUUGCUACAUAAACGCCCAAAAGCUGGUCCUAUUCUUGGUUUCCAGAUAAAACUCCUGAGCGUAAACUACAUGUGCUCGGGGUGUUAUAAUAAAAUAAAUGUAGUUAUUGCUCUAUAAUGAGUUUGUUUGCGCAAAUGGGAUACUUUCCCGAUAAACACAAAAUUUCCGUUUGUAAAUCGUGUACUUGCACGUGUUUCGUAGCAUGCAAUUUUAGAUAUUUUAUUGUAAUCGAACUUUAUCUCUCUUCAUACCAAAUUUGAGAAAUGAAAUAAAGAAAAUUAAUGGUCGUCAGCACAGAUCAUUAAUAUUGUAACCUCUUUUUCGUAUGGAUUUGUUAUUUACCAAAGUCGAACUUAAAAUUUUAUUAUAGGUUUACCUGCUUUUAAUGUUUGCAUUUAUUUUAUAACUGGUUUUGUGUGAGAGUGCGUAGAUCAGCUAGUAUUAAGUGUACGAUAUUUUGCAUUACAACUUUGAUAAUUUACAAAAAAAAAAAUUACAUUAUAAUUUACUUGAUAUUUAUUAGCCUGCGCAGUUUAUUGUACUCAUUAAGAAUAUUUUCGAAUAUAAUUUGUAAUUUCAAAUGAAAUUACAAAUUUCGUAAUGCAUUAAUCAUAUUAAAGUACUUUUAUAUUCGGAUGUAGUUGGAUUUCAAUUGUUUGUGUAAUUUUGAGUACCUAUCGUAUAAAUCUCUAUUUUUAUUGUAAUUAAUGACCCUGUACAUAUUUGUAGUCGACAAUUUGUAUUAAUUAGUAUUGAGCGUUUUACUGUUAGUUUUUAUACCUAAUUUGGUCAUUUCGUCGUACAUGUGUGCAGGGUCCUUUUAAGAAGUGUGGUAUCGAACUAAUUUAGAGAUAUGAUAAACUAUAUAACACUGUUAUAUAUACAAGUAAUUCAACUGGUCCCGUGUGAUGAGUUAAACCAUUAUAUAGACCGUUCGCUCAUCGGAUGGGGAUAUAAAAUUUUCAAAAAUGUUGUCAAAUGAAAAUAUUGGCAAUAGAUAAUUUUUGAAUGAAUAAACUGGGUAAAAAGUUUGCAA
Galleria mellonella (greater wax moth) is the source of this 6441-nucleotide RNA transcript. It is a transcript of the gene named deubiquitinase DESI2, with no coding region annotated. NCBI's taxonomy places the organism in Eukaryota, Metazoa, Arthropoda, Insecta, Lepidoptera, Pyralidae. The record is from RefSeq and is a predicted model, not a curated record. The transcript has 9 exons.